Molecule: ribosomal RNA, 497 nt
Filed under: uncultured bacterium
Lineage: Bacteria
Description: partial 16S ribosomal RNA
Rfam family: Bacterial small subunit ribosomal RNA
Source: RNAcentral
GACGAACGCUGGCGGCGUGCCUAGUACAUGCAAGUAGAACGCUGAAGAGAGGAGCUUGCUCUUCUUGGAUGAGUUGCGAACGGGUGAGUAACGCGUAGGUAACCUGCCUUGUAGCGGGGGAUAACUAUUGGAAACGAUAGCUAAUACCGCAUAACAAUGGAUGACACAUGUCAUUUAUUUGAAAGGGGCAAUUGCUCCACUACAAGAUGGACCUGCGUUGUAUUAGCUAGUAGGUGAGGUAAUGGCUCACCUAGGCGACGAUACAUAGCCGACCUGAGAGGGUGAUCGGCCACACUGGGACUGAGACACGGCCCAGACUCCUACGGGAGGCAGCAGUAGGGAAUCUUCGGCAAUGGGGGCAACCCUGACCGAGCAACGCCGCGUGAGUGAAGAAGGUUUUCGGAUCGUAAAGCUCUGUUGUAAGUCAAGAACGGGUGUGAGAGUGGAAAGUUCACACUGUGACGGUAGCUUACCAGAAAGAGACGGCUAACUACGUG